Molecule: ribosomal RNA, 301 nt
Filed under: uncultured bacterium
Lineage: Bacteria
Description: partial 16S ribosomal RNA
Rfam family: Bacterial small subunit ribosomal RNA
Source: RNAcentral
CAGCAGCCGCGGGAAUACGAAGGGUGCAAGCGUUACUCGGAAUUACUGGGCGUAAAGCGUGUGUAGGUGGUUGUUUAAGUCUGUCGUGAAAGCCCUGGGCUCAACCUGGGAAUUGCGAUGGAUACUGGGCGACUAGAGUGCGGUAGAGGAUAGUGGAAUUUCCGGUGUAGCAGUGAAAUGCGUAGAGAUCGGAAGGAACAUCUGUGGCGAAGGCGACUAUCUGGGCCAGCACUGACACUGAGACACGAAAGCGUGGGGAGCAAACAGGAUUAGAUACCCCAGUAGUACCUGUCUCUUAUAC